AAAGAUGGAUGCAAAUGCUGGGAAAGCAAGAGUUGAAUUGCUAGCCAUGAGGAAAACGUAAGCCUGAGCUGUUUGCUGGCCAUCUUUGCUUCCACAUGGGGAUGGCCUGCCUGGAAAUGAAGCCACACAGAGAAAACAGAAGAGCAGUGAAGAGAAGGGUAAAAGGAGAGAUCCCAUGACAUGAUUUGCACUCUUAGAUCCAGUUAUGCCUGAUGCAGGACCCACCCCUUGGACUUCCCAUUUCCAGGAGCUAAAACUAGACUGAGUUGAGUUUCUGUCACUGACAGUUGACAGAAAAUAUCAACAAUCCAGCCACAUGGAGCCUCAUGGCAGUACCACUAACCCUGGUCACCACAUGAAUACUGACCAGAGGCAUUUCACCUGAAUCAACUGUUUGUGUUCUUAACUCCAUCUCCUCAUCUGCUUCCUGGAAGACCCAACUGACAUAGAUGGUUACAAGAAAUGAUUUCCUCCUUAUAAAACUCUAGAUCUAGUGGGUUUGCAAGAAACCCUCCCAGGGCAGCAGCCUUAGAGGAAGUGCCUGCUAAUGCAAGAAGGAGGGCAAGGGGGACAGCAAGCUGGAGCCUGGAGCUGCUCAUGCGCUUGGAAUCCUCGGCGGGCGCAGGCGGGGAUUUACGGACCUGCCUUUUCCCUCAUCAUUCCGCAGGAAGCUUCUUUAAAUGAGCCUCAGCCCAGCAGCUCUCAUGGGGCCUGGUGUUUAUAGUGGAGACUGAGAUAAAAGAACCGUGGAGAUGCCAGCCCUGGAUAUCGACCCCACGGUCCAGGAAUCAUCAACUGGGCCCGAGGGCAAAUUGUGUUCUGUUUUCUCUGUGCGAAAUGCCAGAAUGCUCCUGCCUCGAAGAGGUUGACUCUGUUGUCAGCUGUGGGAAAAAACAGCCAGAGUUGCUAUUUACACCCUGAACUGCAAGCUGGGUAAAAAUAGCGCUAGCAGCUUGGUCCAGCUUCAAACCCCACUGCAGAGAGAUUAUUUUUGGAAGAGAAGAUUUUCCUCCCCACCCACAGAUCUGAAAAUGGUCACCUCCCCGGAAGAAAGGGGGAGAGAUGAUCCCACGCAAAGGUGAAACCUACCCCCUUCCCACUUUCCCUGCCCAGGACAGCACAUCAAGAGACAGACAAGAAAUGCCCUCCCCUGACAGCAGGUCAGGCCCAGCACAGCCCUGCAGCUGACCUAGUUCAAGGUACAGUGAGAAUUAAUUAACUUUGACUAAGUGAGAGGAGGCAGCUUUCUGAACCUGGAUGCUGCACCAUCCUGUUGCUUGUUAUGGCUAAAGGCAGAAAAAAUAAUUGAUCAAAAGAGUACGCAAGACCCCAAAACAAUAGCUCAGAGCCUGAGGGUCAGGAAAUUACUCUCCAGCCCUCCCACUCCGGAUAGGCCGUGAUACGGCUGUACAAUGAUGAACAAAUUCCCAAAAGCUUGGUCUGGUCCUGCUUCUGUGUUGAGAACCCCUGGCAGCUGGGGGCUGAAAAUUCUUCCCUCAGCUACUUGCUAGAGCUCAGGACCCGGUGUCUGGAGUUCCAGAACCUCCUUCAGGUUCAGGAAGUGAUCCACAUGACAAUCAGUGGAAGAAAAGUCAUUCCUUAAUAGCAUGCCCUUUAUUCUGUAAAAAGAUAUUUUAUAGGUACAUCUAAGUAUGUGGAUUAUGCUAUCUUAGAACUCUAAAAAGAUAUACACAUGUGGAUAGUUCUUAUCAGGUAAAACUAUAUUAAGACUAUGUGAAAAACAGCAGAGAAAAAUACCAGAUCCAUGGUGUCAUGAAAUUGUUCUAUAAUCUGAAAGCACCCAGGCUGCCCAGAGCUGAAACCAAGAGGUGCUUAAUAAGUAUUUUUAGGGAGGAAGAGAAAACACCUCCCACAUCCUACCUCCAUCCAAACCUCCUUCUACGGAGAUCCAGGAACCAAAAUGAAUCUUCCAGUUUGAGAAGACAUACCUCGGCAUCCCCACCCACCUGAUAGAAAGGCGAGAGAAUGACAUAGCGCUCCCCCAACCUCUCAGCACCCCCUACCCAACACACCAGAUCUUCACUACCCUGGCCUCAGUGUGAGCUUUGGGGUAGCAACAAAGUCGGGGACACCUGGGUCUAGGUAGAAGUGGCACAGAUGGGCAUGUGCCAGGGGCACAAGGGCAGCUCAUGCCUGGCUUCUCCUCCGGCGGCAGACAGACUGAGGUUUUAGUCUCGUCAUUGUCACCUGCUAGCUGUAUGACCAACUCACUUCACCUUUUUGAAAUCUGUUUUCCUCGCUAAGAGGGCUGAUACCACCCACCUGCUGGGGUUGGUGAGAACGAGCUGAAGCAGCACGUGUGAAGGCUGUUUGGUGGCUGCUGCAGAGUGAGGGCUAUUGUGCAUCCAGGGGCAGUCCUGUUUCUCCGGGGCAUAUCCUGGGCCAGAUUCGGGGAUCUGUCUUACUUCCAGCUACCUGACGAUGGGGAGUCUACCAGACGGCUAAAGUCUGAACUCUCUGAGAAAUGCAUGGCAUUGACAGAAAUUGCUAAAAAUGUCCUUUCUCCACAGUGUGAGGCCCUCCUGCACCCUGCCCUUCAUUUACCGUGGCCCUUCACCUGAAAUGAAAAUGGUCACCUCCAAGGAGCCAGAAACAGAAUCUCCCUAAUUGGGUGUCUCUGCCAAUGGGGGUUGUCCGGCCAGCUAAGGGCUGGCUCAGCACAGGCUUCUCAGCUGAGGGAGGUCACGGAAAUGGAGUCCCAGUGCCCCUUUCCAAGUCUCAUCUACUCAUGACAUCGGGAGGGAAGAGUUGCUGCUCUGCUGAGUCAUAGCUAUUUAAGCUAUCAGUACUCCGGGCUCGGAGACUCCCCAAGGACCUGGGAAAGACAGCUCAAUAUCCCUUUGAUCAGGACUGCUUCGGGUUUCUAUUUCCAAAGUUGAGAAAUCCAGAUAAUGCUGACUCCUGCCCAGGAACGAAGUGAGCUCAGGUCUCUCUCACUGACCUCCUGCUGAGAAUUGUAGGCCAAGGUGGCCGGGCUCUCCCUUCCAGCCUAAGUCAGCUUCCUUCUGAGUCAGCAUUCUUCACCUCCCUAUUAAUAGCCACUGCUUUGGCUGACUCCAUGCACAGUAUGAUUACAGUUUAAUAAUACGUCUCAAACCAGGAAGCAGUCACCUUCCUGGAGCUGGGCUGUGGAGGGCCCCCAGAGCAGAGGCUCCAUCCCAGAAAGCAGAGGCCAGAACAGCUGCAGAGAGGCUGGGGAGACAACGUAAUUGGCCUGCAAGACAAGUCACUGCUUUGGGGGUUCUGUCUCACUGAGCUUCCUUUUGUUUAGGGCAGGAGACAUGGACACAGGCUAACUUUCAUUUUAUUCUCACAGAUAUUCUUGGGCAGGACUGAAAAAGUGUGGCUAUCUUAUCCAAUUAUGCAGACCCCUCAGCUCACUGGAACGGCCAGUUCUAGGCCAACCUGGGGUUAGCCCCUUCCAGUGUCACCUUUUCCCUGUCACGACAGUAACACUGUGGCCUACUUAAAGAGGCUCAGGGCCAGGUGCAGUGGCUCACACCUGUAAUCCCAGCACUUUGGGAGGCCAAGGUGGGCGGAUCACGGAUCACCUGAGGUCAGGAGUUCAGGACCAGCCUGGCCAACAUGGUGAAACCCCAUCAUUACAAAAAUACAAAAAUUAGCUGGGCAUGAUGGCGGGUGCCUGUAAUCCCAGCUACUCGGGAGGCUGAGGUGGGAGAAUCACUUGAACCCAGGAGGCAGAGGUUGCAAUGAGCCAAGAUCGAGCCACUGCACUCCAGCCUGGGCAAUACAGUGAGACUCUGUCUCAAAAAAAAAAAAAAGGAUCAGAUUGUCCAGAUGGGAUGGGAUGCUGAGACCAGAUUGAACCCCAGCAAAAAAUAAAUAAUUUUUUUUCACUUCACCCCUCUUCCCUUUCUCUGUUUCUCCCCAGGAAAGGCAAACAAGCUAAACGUGCUUUAGCAUUAGAUCAUACUGAGAAGCAAUGAAGUCAGGCCACCCGGUAAUUUGUUCCAGACUUCCCAUCCCUUGUGGGCCCUGAAUGGGCAAAACAUACAGGUUUAGGAGCCAGACAUCCUGGGUUCAAAUUCUCACUUAGCCUCUGAGCUGAGAGGGCUUAGUAAAUUUACUCCACUUUUCUGAACCUCCAUCUUCUUAUGUAUAUAAAAGGGAUAAUAAUAUAUCCUGAAAUGAUUUUAAUGCAAAUGAAAUGAGACAACUUUAAAAAGUAUGCCAAGUACUGUGCCUGGAGUAUAGUAAGUGAUCAAUAAAC
Long non-coding RNA from Homo sapiens (human), 4252 nucleotides. Ensembl annotates it as long intergenic non-protein coding RNA 1476. The record is from Ensembl. NCBI's taxonomy places the organism in Eukaryota, Metazoa, Chordata, Mammalia, Primates, Hominidae.